GAUGAACGCUGGCGGCGUGCCUAAUACAUGCAAGUCGAGCGAACAGAUGAGGAGCUUGCUCCUCUGACGUUAGCGGCGGACGGGUGAGUAACACGUGGAUAACCUACCUAUAUGACUGGGAUAACUUCGGGAAACCGGAGCUAAUACCGGAUAAUAUAUUGAACCGCAUGGUUCAAUAGUGAAAGACGGUUUUGCUGUCACUCAUAGAUGGAUCCGCGCCGCAUUAGCUAGUUGGUAAGGUAACGGCUUACCAAGGCAACGAUGCGUAGCCGACCUGAGAGGGUGAUCGGCCACACUGGAACUGAGACACGGUCCAGACUCCUACGGGAGGCAGCAGUAGGGAAUCUUCCGCAAUGGGCGAAAGCCUGACGGAGCAACGCCGCGUGAGUGAUGAAGGUCUUCGGAUCGUAAAACUCUGUUAUUAGGGAAGAACAAAUGUGUAAGUAAAUAUGCACGUCUUGACGGUACCUAAUCAGAAAGCCACGGCUAACUACGUG
This 497-nucleotide ribosomal RNA is filed under the name uncultured bacterium. Its description in RNAcentral is "partial 16S ribosomal RNA". It matches the Rfam family "Bacterial small subunit ribosomal RNA", at positions 28 to 507 of the family's 1533-position model. The record is from RNAcentral.